GGAGGAUGGAGCCUUUUGACCUUUACAUUUUUAUUAGCAGAUCUCUGUCAUCCCAGUGUAAUCUAAAGGCUCUUAUUCUAUCCCUUUGUCUUCCAGGAAACGUCUGAAAUAAGCAUUGUGCUCUCUGGAGACAGGGGAAAGUCUUUUCAUCAUCCAAAGCCCUGGCAGCCCCAGCUGUAUUUCAUACCUGAUUCUACUCACAUGACCAAAAUAAGCAAAAUGCCUCAGGAAAACCAAAAUGAUUUUGUCUUUAAAAUCUGGAAACCAUCCAGCUCUGUGGCUCAUUCUGAUAGGGUGACACCAGAGAUAAAUCAGCACUCAUCACUGGUAAUGGUCAGGUGUGAGUAA
This 348-nucleotide long non-coding RNA is filed under the name Parus major (Great Tit). RNAcentral describes it as "lncRNA (ENSPMJG00000005594.1)". Lineage: Eukaryota; Metazoa; Chordata; Aves; Passeriformes; Paridae. The record is from RNAcentral.